UCAACUGCUCUGAUAUCACAUAGAUCAACUUCACCAGAAGAUCUACUCCAUAUCUCCAGAAGAUUGUGUGGACCUACACCAACAUGCAGUCUCUCUCUGGCAUUAACAAGCUUCCAAAAUUGAAGGACCUUGAAUUCAAUGGGGGGGCUGUCCCUGUUGAGGUGGAAGAAGCCAUUAACAAACUUAAAGAAAGAACUCAUUUUGACUUUAAACACAACAAACUGAAAAAUCAGGAGCAAGCGAAAGGAUAUGCAACAGAAGAAGAAGAAGAAGAUGAUGAUGAUUAUGAUGAUGCAAGGUUUCCAUUCUGCUGGAAGAAAAAGGUCUAACAUUGAGCUCAAGGCACCUCUCCUAUCCAUUCAUUGUCGUGUGGUUUGUGUGUGGUUUGUCAAAUGUUCUGCUUGUUUGUGUUUUUCUGCUCACGCAUGCAUAUUGUACAUGUGUCGAAUAAGUGUGUCCAGUUUCUCACUUAAUCUACACGCAUGCCUAGUGAUUAUGGUUGAGCAUAAAGGUAUUGUGCUUGCAUGUUUGGAUUUGAAAUUGGAUUUGUGUGGCUUUCUUCUGAACCAUCAUGCUGCAGAAUGCUUGGUUCCAAUUAUGUUUCAUGUAAUAAGCGCAAUGCUUGUGCGCAUAAUUGACUUCAUCUCGAUGUAUCGUGUGAUAUCUAUUGAAUGGUUUCUAUAAGGAUGAUGAAGUGUGUAUCAUAUUUUGAAGUACCUUCCUAACCAUAUUAUAUAUAGUAGUUCACUAGUUCUUGCAUUGUGGUGGCCUAGCAAGGUCCUUCUCCUUCAAGCCAAGGUUUAUGCAGAUUAAGCAUACAUAAAUAUAGAUUCUCUCUUCAUUUAUCUACCAAAUUACAGUGCCACUUGUAGUGUUCCAAUCAAUCAUUUCUUGAGCAAAUGGUCUCAUUUGUACUUUGAUGUGCACUUGAUUGGUAGCUACUAGCUAGAGCAAUUUUAUUACACCUUGUCAUCCCCUUGUUCGAGGAUGGGGAAGCUAGUUGUAUAAAGUUGAUACUAAGCAGUAAGCACGUUGAUGUCGGGCCUAGUUGUUCAGACACAUGAAUUGUAUUUGCAUACAAAUAACUUUAGUUCAGAUAGUGGCAUCCUAUGAUCCAAUUUAUAAUCUAUCCAUGUGUACUCUAAUUCAGAUCUCAAAUUAUCACAACAGUGAGUAGUAAGUGGUUGGUAACACAACCAGGAGCCUAAGUCAACAUGUUAGGAAACGGGAAUAGCUUAAAAUAACAGCAAUAGAUGAUUCCUUUGUGUGAGUAGAGGAAAACCAUAACACCAGAAAAAAAAGGCAAAAAUGAACUUCAAUCAGACAGCGCCAUCUCAUAAUCCAAUUUAUAAUCUAUCUAUGUGUACUCCAAUUCAGAUAUCAGAUUAUCAUGACAAGGAGUAGUAAGUGGACGGUAACACCACCAGUAGCCUAACAGGUCAACAUAUUAGGAAACAAGGUUACAGGAACAGGUCGAAGCAAGAAAAAUCGACGAUUCCUCUAUCUGAGCAGAGAAAAAACCGUCACAUCAGAAAAAAAAAAUGAACGUGUGGCAACAAUAGAAAUGGUAGAGAAGAGUUGGACUCACAGUGAAUCGGAUAUAUGGAUGUCGGGCUUGAGUCGGCUGCUCCCCAGAACUGGCCAUGCGCAUGAAGCAGCACUGCUACGACUGCGAUAAAACUCCAGCAAACACCACCAUGCUUGUGGCCACUGUACUGCACUGCACUAGCCUAGAAAACAAAACGAGACCUGAUUCAGUGAAUUGACUCCAGCGAAGCCCGAAGGACGGGGCAGACAAAUCGCGUGACGUUGGUAGCAAGGCAGGCAUUACGCCGAACACCUUACAAGCGGUUUCGAUCGCAACCGGAUGGAAGAGGCUAGCGCACAGGACGUAGCAUAUUUCAACAUAAGAAUACAGGUAAAAUGAUAGAAAUAAUGGAUAUCCAAGGUCUGCAAUUUUGGGCUUCCAAAAAUGGUUUUAUUCAGAGUAUUUGUAGCACAAGCCGAAACUACACAUCUAGGUAAAUGAUCUAUUCUUCUAAUGCUUGCACAACAGCUAUGGCUAUCCCUUUGGACUUCAGUCUCUUCCUCAUCAAGAAUCAAUCCGUGGAAAAAAUAUGCAGCAGCUUGGAAGAAGGAAAACAAAAUUAAACUAUUUAAAUGUAUACACGAAUCAAAGGGAUAAUUACCAUUGGGGAAAACAUUUGUGCAACAAUAAUUUUUGGAUACUCACCCCACUGGAAGCCAGUGUGAACAAUGUCAUAUGCCCUCUAAAACUCAGAGUCUGAAUGAAUAAAUUUGGACGAUCCCUCUUUUAUUUGGUUCAUUUAUGCUGGAAUUAUUAAUAUAAGUUGAAGUGGUAAAUUAUAUGUAGGUACUGACAGAACACUUUAGUUACAUGAAAAAAUUCUUGUAUAUUGAAAAUGCCCACCUUUUAGCUAAGUUUCUACUCAAAUAUGCAAAUCUGAAUGAAACGUGAUGCAACAAGGGUUAAUGAAAGAAUAAUCCAUAGGUUGUAUAAAUAUUUUAGGAGAACAUAUAACUGCUGGACUAACACCAAUUUGUUUUUCCAUUUGAUCAAUCUUCUAUUUUCAGUGCAACAACCCCAAACCCAGGGGUGAGCUUGCUGAACUUUAGUAAGUAUACGCCUAAAUGUAUAAUAAAGAGACCAUUUGUACUAUUAAAUAAGCAUGCUUCUGGUACUUAAAUACAAUUAUGUGAUAGAAAUGGUUUGUUGUAACCAUAAUAUGGAUUUAGCUAUCAAAUAAAACCUUUUGGGUCGUUCCCUGUUCUUUGUGUGGCGAUUUUGUAACCUAGUGGCUAGUGUGUGGGGUGUGUGAGUUUUGGGUGGGUGAGUUGGGUCUCUUGACCCAUGUAUCUUUUUCCUCUAUCUUAAUGAAAUGAUGUGCAGUUCUCCUGCGCUUUUCGAGAAAAAAAAUAAGGCAACAGCUAUCUCGUAGCUACAACAGAUAGCGCACUUGUGUGCUACUGAGAAAAUAUCCUUAUAUCAAUCAAUGGAUUAAAACUAAUUUGGUUUAGACACAACUUUUAAAUUUCAGUAUACUUCUGUAGUUUGGAAUAAAUUGUGAUCAGGAAUAAACACCAUCUCAAGUAUUGAUUGCACCCUGUUAGCAAGCGAAAACUUAUACUGUAUUCCAAGCUGCCUAGAUGUAACUAUACAAGGUAUUUCUCUAGCUAUAUGACAAUCAAAAACUUGUUCUGAAAUUAACCCCACACCUAUCCCACAGUAAUUUUAGAAUUGGGGAAUCAUAACCAAUAAUCUGGUAGUAUAUUGUGCUAAAAAGAAACAGCAUUAUGCAUUGCUGAAACAACCGUGUUCGUUUGCGAAAGCACCCAUGAAAAUCAUGGACAAUGUUGGAACUCAACUUUUGUCUGUUCCAUGUUGAGAAAUUCCAACUGAAGGACCAGUUACUUUGCCUGCAAUCGGGAUAUAAUCAAUCAUAUCUCCUCCAGAAUUAUGGUAAAUAUGCAUAAUCAGCAGCAAACUAGAAAAGUGAGCACUGAACACUUCAACAAUUAUAUCACCACAUAUGCAGUAGGUAAGAUUGAACAGAAUACCAUAGGUCUAACAGACAUUGUAUUAUUUGCGUUGCUUAUAUGUUGAAUCAUGUCGUUCCUAGUGUGGCAUUUCAUCAACCAAGUGGGUUGAUGAUCCCUAACAUGUCUCUGCAGGUAAAGUGGUGUCUCUCUGGCCUCUAAUCAGUCCACUCCAUGGCGCACAUGUCACAUCACAUCAACCCAAACAUCAUCAAAAGAAGGACGCACAAGGGCACAGGGCAGUGAGGCACAACAUCAAAAAUUGGCAUUGGACAAGGGUAAAAAGUGCAAGCAAAGGGUAGGUUCACGGGAAGAAAGCUUUUACGGACCUUGGCAAUGGCGGAGGCAAGGGUGCGGCCGGACUUCACCAGACUCGAGUUCACAACUGUCGAGCCGACCACAUCCCGCGCCGAGGAGCAAGGGGCGCCUCGCCCUGCCAUGGCCGGGGGCCAGGGCCACUGCGCCUCCGUGCCCGGGGGCGGGUCUGCCCCGCCAUGGCCGAGGCUAGUGCCACCUCUCCCCACUGCAACCCGCCAUGGUUGCCUCCCCGUCGUGCUGGGGCCUCUGUGCCGUCGCCGUGAGAGAGAGAGGUUUCGAGAGAGAGAGGACGGGAAGGAGAGAGA
Molecule: long non-coding RNA, 4181 nt
Filed under: Sorghum bicolor (sorghum)
Lineage: Eukaryota; Viridiplantae; Streptophyta; Magnoliopsida; Poales; Poaceae
Description: long non-coding RNA (SBIC_LNC015316)
Source: RNAcentral